CAUACUUUAGUACUAAGCCAGUUUGUGCAAUAAUGUAUAUGUACAUAGACCUAAUUUAUAAGUAUUUAUAAAUACAUAGAAAAUACCCAUGUCUCAGGAACAAAUAUUCAUGCUCAUCACACUAAUAAAUGCCCGUUCCAGGAUUUGAACCUGGGACCAUCGGCUUCAUAGGCAGGGUCGCUGCCAACAAGGCCAGACCCGUUCUCAUGAUUAACAUACAUAUAAAUACAUAAAAAGUUAAAGCAUUGAUAAAGGGCUGUUGAUAACUGGAUGCCGAAAAACAUGAUUUAUAGAUGUAUAUUAGCGCGAAAUAAUCAGUUGAUCAUCUCAUUAGCAAACAUUAGGAAUAUAAACUGUAGAUAAAGUCAUGUUUUUCCAAGGCUGUAUGUUUUCAGAUGCAGGCAGUGGGCCAAAUUUGUUGGGAACGAAGACCUGAUACAUCUUCCCAUAGAAAAGUUACAUUUAUUCAAACAUGUAUGUGCACAUCAUUAUGAAAAUCAAGCAUUUAAUAAAAUAAAAAAACACGACUUAAAAAACUGUAUUAAAAUAAUUCGGGUCCACAUUAAGCCCGACCAGAUAGUAGUCCAAUUAAGAACUAUCCACUAUAUAACAUACAACUUAAAUGUGGACUCGAUGCUAACCUGAUUUCGAGUACAAAAUUUGUAGACGGGAGCCUAUGUUUCAACCCUCCCCAUUUUAUCGAUAUCGAUAAGAAUCGUAAGCGUGUAGCGUACUACACUAUUUAAAUCGCUUAUGUUGGUACUAAGGUUCUUUGACAGUUCUUUGUCGUACAUUUUGGUAAUGAUUUGCGAAACAAACUGAUUCCACUCGCUAGUAUGGAAGUCCCGUCUCUUAAAACGUAGUCUUUAUAUGCUCUUUGACAAUGACAUGCAGUUGCGUCGAUGUAGAUCUAUCAUAAAAACGUACAUGUGACGCAUGUGACAAUUGUCCAGGAUGAAAGAAAUAUCUUGACAAUUAACAUAAAGCAAUACAAUACUACAAAAUGUAAACAAGAAAACAGAUUUAUUAUCAAAAUACAAAUUAUAUACAAAGCUUCAUUUUAAAACCAAUGGUCGUGGGUUCUAACCCCGGCUCUUAACAAUGUGCAUCUUGUAUCAUGUACCGAUUGCUUUUCAGUAAAGUAAAAUAUAUUAUCAUGAGGAAGACGGAGUAGCCCCAAUAAGGUAUAUUUUCCCCUCUGGGUUAGAAGGUCAGAUAGUAGUGAGACAGGGAGAUAUAGUGAAGAAUGCGGAAAAACAAGCAUUUAUUGUGUUGUUAGGCUAGUUCUUUUUUUCAAAAUUUAAAAACGAACGCAACAGCAUGCUCAAAGCCCCCUGUGAGUCAGAAUCUGUUAAAUUCAGGCUUAAGACGAAACAGGAGCUGAGCCCGUACACAAAUUUGAGAUUUUUAGGUAAAAGGUAAAAAAUAUCGCCGUCGCGCUGACGAGUGUGGUACCCCGUACCUAGCUAGAGACUAUCCCUUGUAUGUGUACCAACAAACCAAAUUUUAGACAAAUAUGAUACGUCUUCUUCUUCUUUGUCGUUGUACUCUUUGCAGAGCGUCGUGAUCAACUGCUGAUAUCAGGCGCAGAUGUUGCUUGCCGUACGAUUUCUCGCCAUUUUUCGCGGUUGGGGGCCAUUCUGGCAAAUGCGUUCAGGGGACCCUUCAUGGCAGAUUUGAUUUGGUCAGUCCAUCGCAUAGGUGGCCUUUUGCGCGGUCUUUUUCCGUUUGCUCUACCCUGCACCACUAGACGCUCUAUGGAGUCGUUGUUCCUCCUCGAGACGUGACCGAAAAAACUGAGUUAUGCGGGUCUUUACGAGAGUCCGAAGGCGCUGCUUGAUACGAAGUUCUUUAAGGAUGGAGACAUUAGUCCGAAACUCGGUCCAGGAUAUCCCCAGCAUUUUCCUGUUUCUAGAGCGUCUAUCGUCUUCUCCUCUGUCUUUCGGAUAGUCCAGGUCUCCGCAGCGUAUAAGAAUAUAGGAAAAACGAGGGCCCGUACAAGCCGAACCUUCGUGGUGUUUGUGACGUUUCGGUGAUACGUAGCCUAUACGUAAAAACUAGCCAAGACAAAUCCUUUAUAAUUUCAGGAUUUUCUACACAGCACAGAACAUGGCACCUCAAAUUCUCAAUUCCGUUGUCGGCGAGUCAACAACGACACAUAUUCUUAAUAUUGAACUUAAUUGGCUCUCAUUUCACAUUUAUGUUUUAAAUUAAUUAUAGGCAUAAACAUACCAUAUCCUAUUGUAAGUACAAAGUUUCAGAGCAAUCUAGCAAGUCAUUUUAAAAUGAGAGCGUAACUACAUUUGUAUGGAGAACCGAAUUUGCUGCGGACGCACAAUGUAGCAUAAUCGGAUUAGGACCAACCUCGAAAUCUCUGUAACAGUCAUGAAAUUUAUUAUGUAUAUAAAUUAAAGGCCCCUUUUUCAUGCCCAAACCAUUUAACAUUUGGGGACCUCGAGGAAUCCGAACCAUCUUGGAAAAUGUGUACCAUCAACACAACAGUCAACAUUAAAACUUAUUAAAUUCUACACAAAAAAGUCCUCGAUAUCUUUGCGGAACAAUACAUCUUGUUAUAGAGAAUACUUGCUGAAUCUAAGUUUAACGCUUAUACACUUCCAGGGGACAUUCUCUUAAAAGGAAACUCGGAGGAAUAUGAAUUCUAUUUUUAACUAUACAUUUGUACGUAGUCUACCCCAAUAUUAACAUUUUACUCUACUGUGACUAAACCAGAAAGAAGGGUUAUGGGUGUAAGUACUGAUGAUUCAGUACACCCAGUAGCUAGGUAUUAGGAUACUGGACGGAUUUUUUUAAAUGACGUAUCGUUAGAUUCCUCUUGCCAUUCACAACCUACUUUUACUUGUUCUAUUAAAGAAAAAUCAAUACAACCGCUUUGAGAGGACUCCGAAUAUUAAAUCAUAUUUUUUCUUCUAGCGCCUAAACUAUUGAGCGGAGUACAGUAAAACAGACAUCAGUAGAUCCACAGUUAGUAUACAAGUGCUAUGCAAUACAAAGUUACUAAAAUUAACGGAAGAAAAAGGUUUAGGGCUAAAUAAUACGUCAUUUAAAAAAUCCGUCCAGUAUCCUAAGCUACAGGGUGUCCUGAAUCCUCAGUACUUAUACCCAUAACCCUACUUUCUGGUUAAGUUGCAGUCAAGUAAAAUAUUGAUAUUGGGGUAGAUUAUGUACAAAUGUAUAGUUAAAAGUGGAAUUUUUAUUCUUCCAAGUUUCCUAUUAAGAGAAUAUCCCAUGAAAUGGUAUAAGGGCUAAAUCUGGGUUUAGCAAGUAUUUUUUAAAGCAAGUUCAUUUUUUUUUCGCAAAGAUGUCUAAAACUAUUUUAUGUAGAAUUUUAUAAGCUUGAAUGUUGCCUUACACGAUUAUUGAAUAAAGAACGUAGAUUUAGAGUAAAACGAGAAUUUCUCCUGGAUGGUCCACAUUUUCCAAGAUGGCUGCGGUUCCUCGAGGUCCCCAAAUGUCAAAUGGUGUGGGCAUGAAAAAGGGGCCUUUAAGGGGCGUAUAUACAUACCAAAUUUCAUGACUGUUCAGACAUUUCGAGUUUGGUCCUAAUCCGACUGUGCUAAUGCCACUAUGUACGUAAACUGUAACUGUACUGCGGACUCAACCUUCACGUUAUAAUUUUUUAAGUAUUAACGUUGACAUAGUAACGAAAAUAAUAAACACGUCAAUUGAAGUAAACAAUAUUAUUAUAUGCAAGAAAAUUUUGCAAAAUAGGUACAUUAAUAAUUAAUAUGUAAAACACCAUUAAUUAUUGAAUUAAAAUUAUGAUUUUGUGUUAAAAAAUAUGAGACCAAUAAUACAGCCCGAUUACACGGGCUACAUAUUAAAAAUGAUUAUCAAGGAAACCGUAAAUAUACACAGAUGUCGAACUACCAGCAAAGUUUUUGAAGAGGUGUAGUUUUUAUAUUUCCUGGUACCAAACUGAUACAGGAAAUUGGAACAUCAGUAAAUAAUCUACACCGAAGACAAUGAAAUAUAGUCACAUAAUACUUUAAUGUUUUAUUUUAUUAAAGAAAUCGGUAAAAAAAUGUGUUAACUGAAAAAGAUAAAUUUUAUUUUAUUUGUAGUUGAAUAACAAAAUAUGUAUUUAAUCUCCUUUAUUUAACAUAGGAAUUCUCUUUGUGUAGGUACAUAUAAAUAAUAGGUACUUAGGUCUUGGUAAGUAAUAUAGACAGUACAGUAGGUCUUAUCUUAAUAAUUUGAGAUCUCAUACAUGCGUUCCGAUAUAUCUGAUGGCGACUGUACAUACAAUGGGGUCGCGUAUACGAGUACAAAGAGCAUUUAAAUAGUUGUUGAUAGACCAAGUGAGCGAGCUACUAUGGUACCUAUCUUUAUAUCAAUUUUAUGCAUUAUGUUAAUUAUGUAAUAGCGCAAUACAGAUUUUUUUUU
Cydia pomonella (codling moth) is the source of this 4404-nucleotide long non-coding RNA. RefSeq lists it as uncharacterized. The record is from RefSeq and is a predicted model, not a curated record. Lineage: Eukaryota; Metazoa; Arthropoda; Insecta; Lepidoptera; Tortricidae. The transcript is spliced from 2 exons.